This 145-nucleotide small RNA is filed under the name Elusimicrobiota bacterium. The record is from RNAcentral. Lineage: Bacteria; Pseudomonadati; Elusimicrobiota.
GUUGUAUAAUUUGAAUAUUCAGGCGGAGGAACCCGGUGUAAAUCCGGGGCUGCCCCGCAACGGUGAUGUCCGCAAGGACUAAGCCCGGUCUACCGCCUGGAAGCUGCAGCCUGCGCGGGACGGCGCCCUUCCAAGGGUAGGCCGC